This is a small nuclear RNA of Onychomys torridus (southern grasshopper mouse), 107 nucleotides long. Lineage: Eukaryota; Metazoa; Chordata; Mammalia; Rodentia; Cricetidae. The record is from RefSeq and is a predicted model, not a curated record.
GUGCUUGCUUCGGCAGCACAUGUGCUAAAAUUGGAAUAAUACAGAGAAGAUUAGCAUGGCCCCUGAGCAAGGAGGACAUGCAAAUUUGUGAAGCAUUCCAUAUUUUU